Molecule: transfer RNA, 74 nt
Filed under: Candidatus Shikimatogenerans bostrichidophilus
Lineage: Bacteria; Pseudomonadati; Bacteroidota; Flavobacteriia; Flavobacteriales
Description: tRNA-Arg
Rfam family: tRNA
About the family: Transfer RNA (tRNA) molecules are approximately 80 nucleotides in length. Their secondary structure includes four short double-helical elements and three loops (D, anti-codon, and T loops). Further hydrogen bonds mediate the characteristic L-shaped molecular structure. tRNAs have two regions of fundamental functional importance: the anti-codon, which is responsible for specific mRNA codon recognition, and the 3' end, to which the tRNAs corresponding amino acid is attached (by aminoacyl-tRNA synthetases). tRNAs cope with the degeneracy of the genetic code in two manners: having more than one tRNA (with a specific anti-codon) for a particular amino acid; and 'wobble' base-pairing, i.e. permitting non-standard base-pairing at the 3rd anti-codon position.
Source: RNAcentral
AACCUCGUAGCUCAAUUGGAUAGAGCAUCUGACUACGGAUCAGAAGGUUAAGGGUUCAAAUCCUUUCGAGGUUA